Aedes aegypti (yellow fever mosquito) is the source of this 77-nucleotide non-coding RNA. The record is from Rfam. Lineage: Eukaryota; Metazoa; Arthropoda; Insecta; Diptera; Culicidae.
GGGGGGGUAUCGUAGCCUCGAGGUUACGCAUUCGCUUCGUAAGCGGAAAGUCAUGGGUUCGAUUUCCAAUCCCCCCA